This 464-nucleotide ribosomal RNA is filed under the name uncultured bacterium. Its description in RNAcentral is "partial 16S ribosomal RNA". It matches the Rfam family "Bacterial small subunit ribosomal RNA", at positions 339 to 795 of the family's 1533-position model. The record is from RNAcentral.
CUACGGGCGGCAGCAGUGAGGAAUUUUGCGCAAUGGGGGAAACCCUGACGCAGCAACGCCGCGUGAGCGAAGAAGGCCCUCGGGUCGUAAAGCUCUGUCAAGUGGGAAAAAAGCCUUUUGAUUAAUACCCAAAAGGUUUGAUGGUACCACUGGAGGAAGCACCGGCUAACUCCGUGCCAGCAGCCGCGGUAAUACGGAGGGUGCAAGCGUUGUUCGGAAUUACUGGGCGUAAAGGGCGUGCAGGCGGUUUGGCAAGUCAGAUGUGAAAGCCCUGGGCUUAACCCGGGAAGUGCAUUUGAAACUGCCUUUCUUGAGUAUGGGAGAGGAGAGUGGAAUUCCCAGUGUAGAGGUGAAAUUCGUAGAUAUUGGGAGGAACACCCGUGGCGAAGGCGACUCUCUGGACCAAUACUGACGCUGAGACGCGAAAGCGUGGGGAGCAAACAGGAUUAGAUACCCCAGUAGUC